Cephus cinctus (wheat stem sawfly) is the source of this 4834-nucleotide long non-coding RNA. RefSeq lists it as uncharacterized. The transcript has 4 exons. NCBI's taxonomy places the organism in Eukaryota, Metazoa, Arthropoda, Insecta, Hymenoptera, Cephidae. The record is from RefSeq and is a predicted model, not a curated record.
AUUAUCACGCAAUUUUCAACAACCUUUUCCAGGUAUCCCGACAAAUUUGCGGAAGGGACGGUCACCGACACGACGUAGGUCGAUCUUGUGAUACAAGGCCGUUGUCGUCGUCAUUGGAAAUGGCGUUCGCCACCUUAAUCAAGUGUUGCAAGACAAUCGCCGAGGAAGUGAGGAAGGAAGGAUGCUAAGGAUUGGAAUACUUUUGUUUUAUUGUCUGUUUAUAUUCUAGACGGACAGGAGUAUUCUUGACCUUUGCGUACGACCUCCAGGUCCUCAUCCCGACCCUGUUCUCGUUCCUGGCCUAUCGCAUCCGGACGCCACAAGCAUAACAAGAUAUGGGUCAAGUGCGGCAGGUACCGAGCAACUUGACUUAUACUUAUAUGGUGGGAAAAAGAAGAUGGCCACGUCGAUUCGAUUGUUUCUUAUAUACCUAUUAUGAAGAUGAUACACACAAUCGGUUUUCAUAUAUCUAUAUCGUGUUCAUACGCUAAAUAUAUACUAUAAGAGAAGAUGAUUAUCAACACGUUCAACGUAGAUGAGUAAUGUAUACUAAAAGUUUAUCUUCAUGCAAUAUUGGAUUUAACUUUUGCGUAAAACCAUUUUAAUCCGCCUGACACUUUUUUCAGUGAAUGCUAUAUGGCUUCCCUAUGCGAUGUUGUUAUGUAAGCAGAGAGCCCUUUCGUGUCUUCCUAAGCAGGUAUAUUUUACGUGGGAUAUCGGUAUAGGUUUCAGUUCCAUAUAUACAUCCCUGGCACUUUACAGGAAUUGUUUAUUCGCCAUGCAAUAACGGAUUAAUGAAAAGUCAUUGCCGUUCCUAAAAAAUGAUUAUUAAGUGACCUCGCACUUAACCGUGCACGGCUGAUUUCAAGUAGAUAAAUAAGAUAGAUCUUGUAUCAACAGCAAGUGGAAAGAAACACUAAAAUAUUCAUUCUUUAGAAUGCGAGUUGACAGUGAUAACAUUUAAAUAAUUUGGCAAGUUUGAAUUCAGCAUAUAUACGUGAGAUAAACAAGUCCACGUGCAGGACGCAUUAAUGCUGUCUCUAUAGUGAAAAACUUUACAUGAAAGGAACUGAAAUAUUUUUAUAUCACGGUACACCCUGUACCCUGGUAUCAUUCAAGAAACUCAGGUAUUACUACACUGUAUAUAUUAUAUGCUACGCAUCACCUACGCUCAGAUACCCAGAGAGAGUGAAAUUAAUAUCGAAAGCGAAUCGGAGCACUGUGGCCCGUAGAAAGGACGUCGUCUCCGGGAAGAGAACGUGGCCACGGCCACUGUCAUUUUUGUCGUUGAAUAUCAAUACACGUGUCCGCCUUAUAGAGAAAGACACGGCAUCUCAUUUGUACACUACAGAAGUUCCUUCGUUAAUCAAGUAAUCAUCUUUCUAUAAGGAGCUAAUAAAUGGUUUAGUGAAACACUGUUGAAUCGACGAGGAGCAUUGUACAUCUUUGUCGGAAUUUAGAAGUUACAGGAGACAGGAGUUGGGGCUCGAACUAGGUCAGGGCAGUCGCCCGCAAAACGAUCGGAUCAAAUUGAUUCUCAAAUUGAAAGAAAAAGUCUAACGAGCACCAAUUCAUUGGGUUGAUGGAUGAUCAACUUUUUUUAUAAUAAUUUUUUUUAAUUUUCCUAACGAGCCAUGGAUUCUACUACCAUUGUGCUAAGUUGAAUAGGUCAAUGUCAAAUCAGUACAGUACCGGUCUUCAGGAACGACUAUCGUAGCGGUACUCUUGGGGUUGCUAUAGUUGUUAAGAUAGAUUAUGACAAGUGCAUAAAAAAUACAGUUUCCGUAGGAGGAAUUGAUAAAAAAAUGGAACAAAAUUUAUAUUGAGAAUCACUGACAGAGAAAUACAAUCGUGAGUCAGGCGUACACUAAAGGCUUGUAUAAAGGCCCCAGGGUGAUUCGCCAGGAUGACCAUGACCAUAUUACCGGACAGAGGCCCGCCAUGCCUUGAGGCUUUUAAUGUUGGUUAGUUCAUACAGACGAUAAAUGGCCCUCGCGAGGUAUUACUUCGAAACCCGUUCACUACUCUCCAUAUUUAUUAGAAGAAUCGAUAAAUAUGCAAUUACAUUGAUGGAUAUAACUAUUUUGACGUUGCAAUUGUUUACUUGCAUAAUAGAAAUAAACACGGAACGUUAUUUAUGAUCGUGGGAUCGGUGCUCGAGUUGUUAAUAAUUUAAAUAGAAUUAUUAUAGCGACAGCUGUGCAGUAUCGCAUUAAAGUCAUGACGAACUUUCCAUCUAUAAGCUCAUUAUGAAAAGUGUUUUUGAAAAACUAACCAUCCACCUGCUGACCUGCAUUUGGAAAUCGAAAAAAAAAAAAUAGUAAAACAUCUUCCUCUGUACCCGACGUGCAAACGAAUUUAUCGAUAACUAUUAACUAGCCCGCGGCUUUAAUGGUGAACGUAAGAACUUGUGCAACAUAACAUUACUUGAAAUUCUAAUCUUGAUCGCGAGUUACCCGAGUGAGCGCAUGAUCCUCGUCUGCGCCAGGUUGGCCAAAAUUACAUAUUCCAUUCCGUCUUUGAGUCCCAAUUUGAAAUUUCGAUCACGAAUCUCUCGCGGGCCUCUUUGUCAUGUAUUGUCGUAAUCGUGAAAGCAGCCAUUAUUAUUGAGCAGUCACUCAACGAAACACGUAUCCGGCAUUUGGGUCCUCCUCAAACCACAUAGUAACAUACCGAACGCGAGGAAAUACCAGGCUAGCCAUGACUACGAUUGAUCAAACUUAUUGAAAACGUAAAAGUUUAUCACUUGCGUCAAAAGUAAGCGAAAUGCGUCACACUAGCGCAUUAUCUGUUUAAAUUCGUAACGUGAAAAUAUUAACAAUAAUGUAUGAAACUGUCAUUUACACUGUUGCUGAUUAGAAUCUGAAAUUUUAAAAUUAUCUCAGAUAUACUCAGCAUAGGCAUGAAAUAACUCAGGAUACGAGUUAAUUGCUCCAUUCGCAAGGAUUACAGUAAAUAACUCAGUGUUCAAUCAGUCAAGAAAUAUCAAUAAGACAACUAUUUGACAGGGUUGCGACAAUGUAUGUAUAAUACGCGUACCCAAUCUUUAAGGUCACCUGUAUAUAUAUAAGUCUCACAAUUAUCAACUUUAUGCAGGUUGGAUCAUUCGAGAUCGGUAGUAAGGUCAAAAAAAGGAAGGGGGUUGGAAACGGGGAGGCGGUUAAAGGAAAAGGUCGGUACCUUCGAAAUAAUCGGUAAAGGUAAAGGCAACGGUGGCCUCAUUUGAGGUCAACCUCUAGAGUGUGGAGCAUUUACUAGGAAUCCUUCCAUAAGUAUUAUUAGGAAGGUAAAGGCGAUCGGGUGUUCGUGGUCUCUAAGGUCAACUGGCACUCACGGAGACAGUAUAUUCAUUUAGCCUCAGGCCAGGAACUUACUUUGGAUCCCUUGACCCAGUAUAGAUUGAUCAUACAGCCAUCGCACAUUAGACACGAGACUUGGAACCUGAGUCUGGAGACAUCAGACCUAAGAGAACAGAUACACCACCCAUUAUACCUGAGACAGCGUACAAGAACUAAGUCUAGUGAAGUCAUAAAAACAAUGAGAAUGUCUGAAAAAAAAUUUGAUCCAUAAAUCCACUGUACGAGAACAAAGAAGAAAAAAGGUGGCGGAUAAAAAUUGAAACUUUUUUUUUUCAUUGCACUUGGAAAAACUUUUAAAUAGGUGUAACGACCGGUUAACCUUCAAUAUUUUCUGAACGGACAUUAUAUUCAUACGUAUAUACAUACUGUUGUACGUGUAAUGUGUGAUGCGGUCCUGAAUGAAAUUAGUAUACUAUUAAAAUUUGCCGCCACGAUUCGUUAGAUUUUGCUAAAAACACCAGUUAUAGUAAUAAAGACUCUUUUUCUGUUCUAUUUCUAAUAUCCCAUAGCGACGCAAUAAAGGUUUCCGUGAAAUAUAUUUUUAGCCAAGUUAUUUGCCAAGAGAUACAGAUGAAAUACGUACCAGGAUGUGCGAACGACUUUCCUGACUUCUACUGAGUAAUUAAUAAUUAAUGAUAAUAAUAAUACAUAAUACAGUAGCAUAACAGAUUAAUAUGUAUAUCGUACUUAUAUUAUGUAUGUAUUCCCAUAAUACGUAUUGUGAUGAUUUCACCUGACAGUAAAGGAACACACGUACGUAGUAAUGGUGGUUGUAAUUGAUGGUGAGGCACGCGAGGUAACGCAAUCACGUUAAUUAAUUCACAAAACGGAUAUGAUAAUUAAUGCUUAUAAUUAAGAAAUAGUAACAUGAGGAUUUGUCUCCCAAAGGACGCCACACUGCAUACUCAGCCAUCGAUAUUCGCGAUAGGUAAAUCAGAGUUUAUGAUUAAAUAAAAUUCUCUUUGGAAUUUUUUUUUAUAUAACCACGUUACAGUGGAACGAUUGUUUAUGAAUAUUCCUAUACGUGUUUUAGGUAGUGCAUAUAUGUAUAUAUAUGUCCUUUAUGUGAAUUACCUAAUUCACUGCACGUGUGCGUAUGCGUAUCUAAAUUCAUAGAAAAUCUCAUUCGGUGCGUUGCUCUACAUGUGUGAACGACGUUACAUAAUUAUCGCGAUGCAGUAUACAUAUACUUGUACAUACAGUACGUAUCCAUAUCUGGUUACGUGCUUAUAUGUAUAAUAUGUAUCCGUAGAUAUGCGCAAAUAUAUUGUAUAUACCACGGACGACUUAGCUAAUGGUAAAACCAAUCACUCUGAUUCAUUGACAAAAAAAUGUCCAUAGAAAAGUUUUAUAAGAUAAGUCACUGUGAAUCGACCAUCAAUUUUACGAAAAAAAUGCGAAAGAAAUUUAAAAAAAAGAAUUGCUUGAUUCGUAACAUCUUUUCAAACCUUGUUUACAGCCAAUCCCAGUUUACG